This 519-nucleotide long non-coding RNA is filed under the name Glycine max (soybean). RNAcentral's name for it is "long non-coding RNA (GMAX_LNC004552)". The record is from RNAcentral. Lineage: Eukaryota; Viridiplantae; Streptophyta; Magnoliopsida; Fabales; Fabaceae.
GGACUACAGGUGGAUACACAAUAGGUGGUGUCACAAUUGGUGGUGUUGGUACUACAGGUGGAUAAACAAUGGGUGGUUUUGGCACAUAAGGUGGUGUAACUGGCACAACUGGUGGUUUUGGGAUAUAUGGUGGUCUAACUGGGACAACAGGUGGUUUUGGGACAUAAGGAGGGUUCACAAUUGGUGGUUUUGGAACAUAUGGUGGUGUAACUGGCACAACUGGUGGUUUUGGGACAUAGGGAGGGUUCACAACUGGUGGCUUCGGGACAUAGGGUGGUUUAACAACUGGUGGUUUUGGGACAUAAGGUGGAUGUGGAUGCAGUGGAGGCUUAGGGUGAGGUUUUGGGACAUGGGGUGGAUGUGGAUGAACUGGUGGUUUAGGGUAGUGAGGAGGUUUUGGGACAUAGGGUGGGUGUACAUGGGGUGGUUUUGGAGAUGACUUGGGUGGUGGACAUGGUUUUGGUUGUUUGUGAACUGGUGGUUUCACAAUGGGAGGCUUUUUUGGAGGAGGCUUGGGAG